GGAUGAUGUAGAGUCAGAUGGCUACUGACAGCGGACUGUAACCCCGCCGCUUCUGCUAGAGGUUCAAUUCCUUCCUUCAUCCACCA
RNAcentral lists this transfer RNA (86 nucleotides) under Pseudomonas phage ZY21. Its description in RNAcentral is "tRNA-Tyr". The record is from RNAcentral. RNAcentral also lists the same sequence under 1 other name. Lineage: Duplodnaviria; Heunggongvirae; Uroviricota; Caudoviricetes.